GUCUAGCUCUUGGAUAGCUCAGUUGGUUAGAGAGUGGUGCUGAUAACACCAAGGUUGCUGGUUCGAUCCCCAUAUGGGACA
This 81-nucleotide transfer RNA is filed under the name Podarcis lilfordi (Lilford's wall lizard). RNAcentral describes it as "tRNA.Ile". The record is from RNAcentral. Lineage: Eukaryota; Metazoa; Chordata; Lepidosauria; Squamata; Lacertidae.